RNAcentral lists this ribosomal RNA (487 nucleotides) under Rhodosporidiobolus sp. RNAcentral describes it as "eukaryotic LSU rRNA". It matches the Rfam family "Eukaryotic large subunit ribosomal RNA", at positions 50 to 549 of the family's 3401-position model. Lineage: Eukaryota; Fungi; Basidiomycota; Microbotryomycetes; Sporidiobolales; Sporidiobolaceae. The record is from RNAcentral.
GCGGAGGAAAAGAAACUAACAAGGAUUCCCCUAGUAGCGGCGAGCGAAGCGGGAAGAGCUCAAAUUUGUAAUCUGGCGCUUUCAGCGUCCGAGUUGUAAUCUCUAGAAAUGUUUUCCGCGUUGGACCGCACACAAGUCUGUUGGAAUACAGCGGCACAGUGGUGAGACCCCCGUUCAUGGUGCGGAUGCCCAAUGCUUUGUGAUACAUUUUCGAAGAGUCGAGUUGUUUGGGAAUGCAGCUCAAAUUGGGUGGUAAAUUCCAUCUAAAGCUAAAUAUUGGCGAGAGACCGAUAGCGAACAAGUACCGUGAGGGAAAGAUGAAAAGCACUUUGGAAAGAGAGUUAACAGUACGUGAAAUUGUUGGAAGGGAAACGCUUGAAGUCAGACUUGCUGUUCGGAGUUCAGCCGCAAGGUGUACUCUCCGAGUUGCAGGCCAGCAUCAGUUUUCUGGGAUGGAAAAUCACGGUUUGAAGGUAGCAGUUUCGGC